RNAcentral lists this long non-coding RNA (211 nucleotides) under Mytilus galloprovincialis (Mediterranean mussel). Lineage: Eukaryota; Metazoa; Mollusca; Bivalvia; Mytilida; Mytilidae. The record is from RNAcentral.
CAGAUUUUUAUGUUAAGUAAAGUGAGUUUUGGUUGAGUUAUAAGUAUCAUUAAAGAUUAUUAUUUUUGGAAGAAAAAAAUACGUUGAAAGCAGGCAUGCGACAGAGCAGACUAGGUUGGUGGGGGCUGCAUUUAUGGUAAUUCAAGUUACCUUUAUACAUAUUUUCCCACCUCAGAGCAAUCAGCUCUUUGAUUUAAUUGAAGAACCCGGG